Molecule: ribosomal RNA, 564 nt
Filed under: uncultured bacterium
Lineage: Bacteria
Description: bacterial SSU rRNA
Rfam family: Bacterial small subunit ribosomal RNA
Source: RNAcentral
CCUACGGGAGGCAGCAGUGGGGAAUCUUGCGCAAUGGGCGAAAGCCUGACGCAGCGACGCCUCGUGGGGGAUGAAGGCUCUCGGGUUGUAAACCCCUUUCGGCAGGAACGAAAUUGACGGUACCUGAAGAAGAAGCACCGGCCAACUACGUGCCAGCAGCCGCGGUAAUACGUAGGGUGCAAGCGUUGUCCGGAUUUAUUGGGCGUAAAGAGCUCGUAGGCGGCUUCGUAAGUCGGGUGUGAAACCUCCAGGCUUAACCUGGAGACGCCACCCGAUACUGCGAUAGCUAGAGUCCGGUAGGGGAUCACGGAAUUCCUGGUGUAGCGGUGAAAUGCGCAGAUAUCAGGAGGAACACCGAUGGCGAAGGCAGUGAUCUGGGCCAGUACUGACGCUGAGGAGCGAAAGCGCGGGGAGCAAACAGGAUUAGAUACCCUGGUAGUCCACGCCGUAAACGUUGGGCACUAGGUGUGGGUCCUUAUCAACGGGAUCCGUGCCGCAGCUAACGCAAUAAGUGCCCCGCCUGGGGAGUACGGUCGCAAGACUAAAACUCAAAUGAAUUGACGG